Jatropha curcas is the source of this 1542-nucleotide long non-coding RNA. RefSeq lists it as uncharacterized. Lineage: Eukaryota; Viridiplantae; Streptophyta; Magnoliopsida; Malpighiales; Euphorbiaceae. The record is from RefSeq and is a predicted model, not a curated record.
AAAAAUCCAUAAAACAAAUAAAAAUCGAGUCAAACCACCGAUUUGGACUAAACCAGUUCGAAUCAAACCGAAAUAGUCUAGAAACCCAAAUUUUCUUUGCUUCUUCUCGAGCGCAUGAGCCCCCCUCCUCUCUCUUCGUUUUUGGCCACCGUUUGGCGGAAACAAGGCGGCGACAGGCCCCCUUCGCGAUGGUGGUUCUGAUUCUGCCUCUCCUCCCGAUGAUCAGAUCCCCAGGAGCACGAACGGAGGCUUCAUCCAUCGACAGCCUCGUUCCUCGAUCUCCAGCGACACUAGGCGAUUCCUGCGAGUUGAAGCUCCAAAAUGAAUCUUGAUCAACUCAGCUCCUCCACGCGAAGAUUUUCCAUCCAAGAAUCGACGGAUUCUGUGGAGGGAACUGAAACCACCAUGAGUGGCGGAGUGGAGAUGGCUGUGGCUGUCGAUCCGCCCAAACGAGACACUAUCUCCUCAAAACGACACCAAUUUCAGCUUCUACAAGUGAUUUCGAGCAUUUUGGUGUAGGUGUUGCAUGAUUCUGGGUCAUUUGGCUUUUCCGGCCAUCGUACACGGUGGUGUCGACGGCGAUCCGGCGAGGCCUCAAGAGUAAGAAUCAUCUCCUCCUCGCGCAGAUUGUGGAACCGUUGUCCGAUUUUCGAUUGGAUGAAGUGGGUUACCAUGAGUUUGUGAGGGCGGUCAGCGAUACCGUCGGCCAAAUAUGGGGAGAUCGGCUCCCCCGUGUGCACCUGAUGAUAUGAUAUAGAUGAUAUAGAAAACCACAGGGUGUCCUCCUGUUGGUAUAGAAAAGAAAAGAGAGAAUGGAAAAAUAAUGAGAGAGCUUGUCAAGUGAGAAUUAAACCGAUCGGCCAUGUAUGGGGGAUCGGCUUCUUGGUGCAUACGUCAUAAGAGGAUGGGUCAUGUGAGAGGACGACUCAUCGGGGGUUUCGGUGACGCCACUGGCUAAUUUCCACGUGAUGUGAUUAUGUGAAGGUAUUUAUAUUUGUGAGUGCUGUUGUUAUGCCAUCUGUGUAAUCACCUGCAUGAUUAUAUAACUAGUCGGAUGACUAGACGAGUAUACUUACACAUUCGGGUGAAUGCAUGUAUUGUGCAAUAAUUAUUAUUUUAGCCUCGUUUUUAAGGUUAAGGCUUAGGGAAGGCUGGUUGGAGACUUAAUUGACAGUUGAACGUUUUACCACGUUUUUUGGCAUUGAUGGGAACAGUCCGUCCAGCUUAGAUCAAUGUCACAACGGUUUGAGCUUGAUGCUCCAGAAGCUGUCGAAGUAGUAUUUCUCAUAAAACUCACAUGUCUUGUUUAUCUUGUUUAGCUUUUCAGGAAGUAGAUUCUUCUAAACCCUAGUUAAAACUCUAUUUCUUUCACCGCAGAGCUAAAGAAGAAAAUAUUUAAUUUUAAUAUUUAGUGUAAUUGUGAGAUUACAAAAUCUAAAUGUUCUGUUUAAUAUUGAACUCUGCAGUUGUAGGAAUAAAAUCAACAAACUGAUGAGGAUGUUCAAUUAAUCAUUUAUGAAAAUGCUUGAAUCUGUUAGCCCA